AAAAUCCGCUGUAACGUUAAUGCUGAGGCGUGAUGGUGAAGGCCCUUGAGGCUGAAGUACAUGAUUCCAUGCUUCCAAGAAAAGCAUCUAGAGAGAGAAGUAGUGCCCGUACCGCAAACCGACACAGGUAGAUGAGGAGAGAAUCCUAAGGCCGGCGGAAGAAUUGCAGUUAAGGAACUAGGCAAAUUGACCCCGUAAGUUAGCGAGAAGGGGUGCCUGCGAGAGCAGGCCGCAGAGAAUAGGCCCAAGCAACUGUUUAGCAAAAACACAGGUCUCUGCUAAAGCGCAAGCUGAUGUAUAGGGGCUGACGCCUGCCCGGUGCUGGAAGGUUAAGGGGAACACUUAGCGCAAGCGAAGGUGUGAACUUAAGCCCCAGUAAACGGCGGCCGUAACGAUAACGGUCCUAAGGUAGCGAAAUUCCUUGUCAGGUAAGUUCUGACCCGCACGAAUGGCGUAAUGACUUGGGCACUGUCUCAACUGCAAAUCCGGCGAAGUUGUAGUGCGAGUGAAGAUGCUCGCUACCCGCGAUUGGACGGAAAGACCCCGUAGAGCUUUACUGUAGCUUAGCAUUGAAUUCCGGUAUUGUCUGUACAGGAUAGGUGGGAGACUGGGAAACUAGGGCGUCAGCCUUGGUGGAGUCGUCCUUGGGAUACCACCCUGACAGUACUGGGGUUCUAACAGGACGCCAUGAAUCUGGUGACUGGACAUUGUUAGGUGGGCAGUUUGACUGGGGCGGUCGCCUCCUAAAAAGUAACGGAGGCGCCCAAAGGUUCCCUCAGAACGGUCGGAAAUCGUUCGUAGAGUGCAAAGGCAGAAGGGAGCCUGACUGCGAGACCUACAAGUCGAGCAGGGACGAAAGUCGGGCUUAGUGAUCCGGUGGUACCUCGUGGGAGGGCCAUCGCUCAACGGAUAAAAGCUACCUCGGGGAUAACAGGCUGAUCUCCCCCAAGAGUCCACAUCGACGGGGAGGUUUGGCACCUCGAUGUCGGCUCGUCGCAUCCUGGGGCUGUAGUAGGUCCCAAGGGUUGGGCUGUUCGCCCAUUAAAGCGGCACGCGAGCUGGGUUCAGAACGUCGUGAGACAGUUCGGUCCCUAUCCGUCGCGGGCGUAGGAAAUUUGAGAGGAGCUGUCCUUAGUACGAGAGGACCGGGAUGGACUGACCUCUGGUGCACCAGUUGUUCUGCCAAGAGCAUGGCUGGGUAGCUAAGUCGGGAAGGGAUAAACGCUGAAAGCAUCUAAGCGUGAAGCCUCCCUCAAGAUGAGAUUUCCCAUAGCAUAAGCUAGUAAGACCCCUUGAAGAACACGAGGUUGAUAGGUCAGAGGUGUAAGUGUGGUAUCAUAUUUAGCUGACUGAUACUAAUAGGUCGAGGGCUUGACCAG
Molecule: ribosomal RNA, 1379 nt
Filed under: metagenome
Description: bacterial LSU rRNA
Rfam family: Bacterial large subunit ribosomal RNA
Source: RNAcentral